RNAcentral lists this ribosomal RNA (255 nucleotides) under Streptococcus danieliae. RNAcentral describes it as "Streptococcus sp. ERD01G Bacterial small subunit ribosomal RNA". It matches the Rfam family "Bacterial small subunit ribosomal RNA", at positions 55 to 302 of the family's 1533-position model. The record is from Rfam by way of RNAcentral. Lineage: Bacteria; Bacillati; Bacillota; Bacilli; Lactobacillales; Streptococcaceae.
AUGCAAGUAGAACGCUGAAGAAAGAGCUUGCUCUUUUGGAAGAGUUGCGAACGGGUGAGUAACGCGUAGGUAACCUGCCUGGUAGCGGGGGAUAACUAUUGGAAACGAUAGCUAAUACCGCAUAAUAGCUUUGAUUGCAUGAUUGAAGUUUGAAAGAUGCAACUGCAUCACUACCAGAUGGACCUGCGUUGUAUUAGCUAGUAGGUGAGGUAAAGGCUCACCUAGGCGACGAUACAUAGCCGACCUGAGAGGGUG